The submitters of this non-coding RNA (45 nucleotides) gave its source as unclassified sequences. The record is from Rfam.
UCGGUUCCGGUUCACGUCUCGCGACCUCGCAGGCGACCCGGCGCC